This 87-nucleotide transfer RNA is filed under the name Staphylococcus pettenkoferi. RNAcentral's name for it is "tRNA-Leu". It matches the Rfam family "tRNA". Rfam says of the family: Transfer RNA (tRNA) molecules are approximately 80 nucleotides in length. Their secondary structure includes four short double-helical elements and three loops (D, anti-codon, and T loops). Lineage: Bacteria; Bacillati; Bacillota; Bacilli; Caryophanales; Staphylococcaceae. RNAcentral also lists the same sequence under 3 other names. The record is from RNAcentral.
GCCGGUGUGGCGGAAUUGGCAGACGCGCGGGACUCAAAAUCCCGUUCCUUUCGAGGAGUGUCGGUUCGAACCCGACCACCGGUACUA